This is a long non-coding RNA of Sorghum bicolor (sorghum), 762 nucleotides long. RefSeq lists it as uncharacterized. The transcript is spliced from 3 exons. NCBI's taxonomy places the organism in Eukaryota, Viridiplantae, Streptophyta, Magnoliopsida, Poales, Poaceae. The record is from RefSeq and is a predicted model, not a curated record.
CCUCAACCACCUCUCUCAGACGUCGCCGCCCCUAGCCACUCUCUCUCUCGGUUCCAUCUCUCUCCCAAGUCUCGAACCUAUCCAAACGGCGCAAGCUACCAGGGGUGAGCCCUGGCAUGGCGAGACCCUCCGGCGGUGCACGGCAGGGCGCGGCCCCUCCGGCUGUGCAUGCGGGUUAGGGUCUCCGGCGGCGUGUGCGGGUUAAGGGAUCCAGCGGCACAUGCGGCUCAAGGGCGAGCGCCUCCGGCGGCUCGCAGGUAGGCCGCGGCCCCCUCUGGUGGCACUCUCCUCCACGGUGCACCCCUCCCACGGUACAGGCAGUCCCCAUGCGCAUCGCCAGUCACGACCCCAGCCUGCGUCCUCCGCGGAGCAGGCACCAACAGGCGCAGAUCUGAGGAUGCCGCCUCCUCUGGUGCUCUGCAGCCACCUUCCCCACUAGGAGGAGCCGCAGUGCUGAAUUCUGAAGGUGUUGCUCAGAACAUAGGAGAGGCACAACAGUUGCUGGUAUGCAAUCAGCAAAUCUCUACGACUAAGGCCAAAAGAUAGUAUGGCGUGGACGGCUUGAUAUAGGAGUUAGUAAUAUCCAAACUAUUAUUGAUGUAUGGGCUUCAUGAGGAUGAAUGAUAAAUACACUUGUAAUGUUUGUAUGGAUACUUUACGUAUGGAUACUUUACGUCAAUAUAAUGGUUGAGGACCAUCGUAAAAUAUCCAUGUGCAUGUCAUCUUGUGUCACUUGAAUAUAGUUACUAGAAUAUUAGAAUA